This 773-nucleotide ribosomal RNA is filed under the name Chloropicon mariensis. RNAcentral's name for it is "bacterial SSU rRNA". It matches the Rfam family "Bacterial small subunit ribosomal RNA", at positions 516 to 1306 of the family's 1533-position model. The record is from RNAcentral. Lineage: Eukaryota; Viridiplantae; Chlorophyta; Chloropicophyceae; Chloropicales; Chloropicaceae.
CGCGGUAAGACGGGGGAUGCAAGCGUUAUUCGGAAUUAUUGGGCGUAAAGCGUCUGUAGGUGGCGAGGAAAGUGUUGUGUUAAAGACCAGGGCUCAACCCUGGGAAAGCAUUGCAAACUAUCUCGCUUGAGUUCGGUAGGGGCAGAGAGAAUUCCCAGUGUAGCGGUGAAAUGCGUAGAUAUUGGGAGGAAGACCGGUGGCGAAGGCGUUCUGCUGGGCCGUAACUGACACUCAGAGACGAAAGCUAAGGGAGCAAAUAGGAUUAGAUACCCUAGUAGUCUUAGCUGUAAACGAUGCACACUAUGUUUUGCAAUUUGCAGAGCAAUAGCUAACGCGUUAAGUGUGCCGCCUGGGGAGUACAUUCGCAAGGAUGAAACUCAAAGGAAUUGACGGGGACCCGCACAAGCGGUGGAGCAUGUGGUUUAAUUCGAUGCAACGCGAAGAACCUUACCAAGAAUUGACAUGCUGCGAACAUUUAUGAAAGUAAAGAGUCUAUUAACUUAGUUAAUAGCGCAGACACAGGUGGUGCAUGGUUGUCGUCAGCUCGUGCCGUGAGGUGUUAGGUUAAGUCCUGCAACGAGCGCAACCCUUGUCUUUAGUUAUAUUCUAGAGAGACUGCCGGUGAUAAACCGGAGGAAGGUGAGGAUGACGUCAAAUCAGCAUGCCCCUUACAUCUUGGGCGACUCACGUGCUACAAUGGUCGGGACAAAGAGAUGCUACCCUGCGAAGGCAAGCUAACCUCAAAAACCCGAUCUCAGUUCGGAUUGCAGGCU